This 559-nucleotide ribosomal RNA is filed under the name uncultured bacterium. Its description in RNAcentral is "bacterial SSU rRNA". It matches the Rfam family "Bacterial small subunit ribosomal RNA", at positions 338 to 916 of the family's 1533-position model. The record is from RNAcentral.
CCUACGGGAGGCAGCAGUGGGGAAUCUUGCGCAAUGGGCGAAAGCCUGACGCAGCCAUGCCGCGUGAAUGAUGAAGGUCUUAGGAUUGUAAAAUUCUUUCACCGGGGACGAUAAUGACGGUACCCGGAGAAGAAGCCCCGGCUAACUUCGUGCCAGCAGCCGCGGUAAUACGAAGGGGGCUAGCGUUGCUCGGAAUUACUGGGCGUAAAGGGAGCGUAGGCGGAUAGUUUAGUCAGAGGUGAAAGCCCAGGGCUCAACCUUGGAAUUGCCUUUGAUACUGGCUAUCUUGAGUAUGGGAGAGGUUAGCGGAACUCCGAGUGUAGAGGUGAAAUUCGUAGAUAUUCGGAAGAACACCAGUGGCGAAGGCGGCUAACUGGCCCAUUACUGACGCUGAGGCUCGAAAGCGUGGGGAGCAAACAGGAUUAGAUACCCUGGUAGUCCACGCCGUAAACGAUGAGUGCUAGUUGUCGGCAUGCAUGCAUGUCGGUGACGCAGCUAACGCAUUAAGCACUCCGCCUGGGGAGUACGGUCGCAAGAUUAAAACUCAAAGGAUUGACGG